AUCUGACCCAGCGGCUCUGGAGGGACAUCUGUGCGCAAAUUUUUGAGACCUCGGGGGAUCUAAAUGCGGCGGCUCAGGAGAAAUAUGUCAAACUGGUUACCACGUGUUGGCGAUCUAUCCCGGACCGCUUCAGGAGGGAUUUUAACAAGGAGGUUCAGGCCCCGAGUGGCUCCGGAGGAACCUCAGGGACCACAUACAUCCAUACGACGGCCCUGGGGUUCCUACGAAAGGCAAUGGCACC
Bufo bufo (common toad) is the source of this 241-nucleotide long non-coding RNA. RefSeq lists it as uncharacterized. NCBI's taxonomy places the organism in Eukaryota, Metazoa, Chordata, Amphibia, Anura, Bufonidae. The record is from RefSeq and is a predicted model, not a curated record. The transcript is spliced from 2 exons.